GAUGAACGCUGGCGGCGUGCUUAAUACAUGCAAGUCGAGCGAACAGACGAGGAGCUUGCUCCUCUGACGUUAGCGGCGGACGGGUGAGUAACACGUGGAUAACCUACCUAUAAGACUGGGAUAACUUCGGGAAACCGGAGCUAAUACCGGAUAAUAUAUUGAACCGCAUGGUUCAAUAGUGAAAGACGGUUUUGCUGUCACUUAUAGAUGGAUCUGCGCCGCAUUAGCUAGUUGGUAAGGUAACGGCUUACCAAGGCAACGAUGCGUAGCCGACCUGUGAGGGUGAUCGGCCACACUGGAACUGAGACACGGUCCAGAGUCCUACGGGAGGCAGCAGUAGGGAAUGUUCCGCAAUGGGCGAAAGCAUGACGGAGCAACGGCGCGUGAGUGAUGAAGGUCUUCGGAUCGUAAAACUCUGUUAUUAGGGAAGAACAAAUGUGUAAGUAACUAUGCACGUCUUGACGGUACCUAAUCAGAAAGCCACGGCUAACUACGUG
This 497-nucleotide ribosomal RNA is filed under the name uncultured bacterium. RNAcentral's name for it is "partial 16S ribosomal RNA". It matches the Rfam family "Bacterial small subunit ribosomal RNA", at positions 28 to 507 of the family's 1533-position model. The record is from RNAcentral.